RNAcentral lists this ribosomal RNA (870 nucleotides) under uncultured archaeon. Its description in RNAcentral is "bacterial SSU rRNA". It matches the Rfam family "Archaeal small subunit ribosomal RNA", at positions 4 to 882 of the family's 1478-position model. The record is from RNAcentral.
CUGGUUGAUCCUGCCAGACCCGACUGCUAUCGGAUUGGGACUAAGCCAUGCGAGUCAACUCCGCAAGGGGUGGCGCACGGCUCAGUAACACGUAGUCAACCUACCCUGGGGACGGGGAUAACCUCGGGAAACUGAGGCUAAACCCCGAUGGGCCAUGGCUCCUGGAAUGGGCUAUGGCUGAAAUCUACAUGGCCCCAGGAUGGGACUGCGGCCGAUCAGGUUGUUGGUGGGGUAAUGGCCCACCAAGCCUAUAACCGGUGCGGGCUCUGAGAGGAGGAGCCCGGAGAUGGGCACUGAGACAAGGGCCCAGGUCCUAUGGGGCGCAGCAGGCGCGAAACCUCCGCAAUGGGCGAAAGCCCGACGGGUUCAGUCCGAGUGGUUCCCGCUGAGGGAACCUUUUGCCAGCUGUAAACAGGCUGGCGAAUAAGGGGUGGGCAAGUUUGGUGUCAGCCGCCGCGGUAAUACCAGCACCCCGAGUGGUCGGGACGAUUAUUGGGCCUAAAGCAUCCGUAGCCGGCCCAGUAAGUCCUCCGUUAAAUCCAACGGCUCAACCGUUGGGCUGCGGGGGAUACUGCUGGGCUAGGGGACGGGAGAGGCGAGGGGUAUUCCCGGGGUAGGGGUAAAAUCCACUGAUCCCGGGAGGACCACCAGUGGCGAAGGCGCCUCGCUAGAACGUGCCCGACGGUGAGGGAUGAAAGCUGGGGGAGCGAACCGGAUUAGAUACCCGGGUAGUCCCAGCCGUAAACGAUGUAGGCUCGGUGUUGGGCUGCCUCAGUGGCAGCCCAGUGCCGCAGGGAAGCCGUUAAGCCUACCGCCUGGGGAGUACGGCCGCAAGGCUGAAACUUAAAGGAAUUGGCGGGGGAGCACCAC